GAUGAACGCUGGCGGCGUGCCUAAUACAUGCAAGUCGAGCGAACGGACGAGAAGCUUGCUUUUCUGAUGUUAGCGGCGGACGGGUGAGUAACACGUGGAUAACCUACCUAUAAGACUGGGAUAACUUCGGGAAACCGGAGCUAAUACCGGAUAAUAUUUUGAACCGCAUGGUUCAAAAGUGAAAGACGGUCUUGCUGUCACUUAUAGAUGGAUCCGCGCUGCAUUAGCUAGUUGGUAAGGUAACGGCUUACCAAGGCAACGAUGCGUAGCCGACCUGAGAGGGUGAUCGGCCACACUGGAACUGAGACACGGUCCAGACUCCUACGGGAGGCAGCAGUAGGGAAUCUUCCGCAAUGGGCGAAAGCCUGACGGAGCAACGCCGCGUGAGUGAUGAAGGUCUUCGGAUCGUAAAACUCUGUUAUUAGGGAAGAACAUAUGUGUAAGUAACUGUGCACGUCUUGACGGUACCUAAUCAGAAAGCCACGGCUAACUACGUG
This 497-nucleotide ribosomal RNA is filed under the name uncultured bacterium. RNAcentral's name for it is "partial 16S ribosomal RNA". It matches the Rfam family "Bacterial small subunit ribosomal RNA", at positions 28 to 507 of the family's 1533-position model. The record is from RNAcentral.